AGAGUUUGAUCCUGGCUCAGGACGAACGCUGGCGGCGCGCCUAACACAUGCAAGUCGAACGGAGAUAUAUCAGCAGAAUUUUUCGGAAGGACGCAGAUAUAGCUUAGUGGCGGACGGGUGAGUAACACGUGAGCAACCUGCCUUACAGAGGGGGAUAACGGCUGGAAACGGUCGCUAAUACCGCAUAACAUAUACGCAUCGCAUGGUGUGUAUAUCAAAGAUUUAUCACUGUAAGAUGGGCUCGCGUCUGAUUAGAUAGUUGGUGAGGUAACGGCUCACCAAGUCGACGAUCAGUAGCCGGACUGAGAGGUUGAACGGCCACAUUGGGACUGAGACACGGCCCAGACUCCUACGGGAGGCAGCAGUGGGGGAUAUUGCACAAUGGGGGAAACCCUGAUGCAGCGACGCCGCGUGAGGGAAGAAGGUUUUCGGAUUGUAAACCUCUGUCUUUGGGGAAGAAGAGAUGACGGUACCCAAGGAGGAAGCUCCGGCUAACUACGUGCCAGCAGCCGCGGU
This 516-nucleotide ribosomal RNA is filed under the name uncultured bacterium. RNAcentral's name for it is "bacterial SSU rRNA". It matches the Rfam family "Bacterial small subunit ribosomal RNA", at positions 8 to 521 of the family's 1533-position model. The record is from RNAcentral.